This 348-nucleotide ribosomal RNA is filed under the name uncultured bacterium. Its description in RNAcentral is "bacterial SSU rRNA". It matches the Rfam family "Bacterial small subunit ribosomal RNA", at positions 71 to 422 of the family's 1533-position model. The record is from RNAcentral.
CAGGCGUAGCAAUACGUGCUGACGAGCGGCGAACGGGUGAGCAAUGCUUCGGAAUCUGCCCAAUGAUGGGGAAUAACCAGUCGAAAGAUUGGCUAAUACCGCAUACGCCCUUCGGGGGAAAGCGGGGGUCGCAAGACCUCGCGUCGAUGGAUGAGCCGAAGUCGGAUUAGCUAGUUGGUAGGGUAACGGCCUACCAAGGCGACGAUCCGUAGCUGGUCUGAGAGGACGACCAGCCACACUGGGACUGAGACACGGGCCAGACUCCUACGGGAGGCAGCAGUGGGGAAUAUUGGACAAUGGGGGCAACCCUGAUCCAGCGACGCCGCGUGUGUGAAGAAGGCCUGCGGG